UUCACACUUCUGUGCCUUCACACAUGCUGUUUCUUCCUCCUGGGAUACAAUUCCCCAUCUCCAAUGUUUGAUCAACUCCUCAUUCUUCCAAAGCCGGCUGGGAUGCCACUGUUUCUGUGAAGCCUCUAACCUCAUAAGACCCUGGCUUCUCCUUCAGGGAAAGAGAGAUUCAUUACAUGGAAGGAAAGCCAAGUCCCUCUCAACACUUUUGCCUUGCCACCUAACAGAAAUUAGCCUUUGACCUCUCCUUCCAACUCCCUGCCAUUGAACUCCCAAUCCAUCUGCCAAACCAAAGAACACCAUGUACUAAAAGGUCAGGAGCCUGUGGCAGCUAAGAGGAUGAGUGAUUCUACAAUCUUCAUAUAAACCGAGCCCCCAGGAGGGAUUGAGACUUGUUGAUUUGUGCCAGUACAAGCGACAAUGCCAGUCUGCAGAUCUGGAGAGGAUGUUCAUAAGGAUCCACCCAUUCCCUGUGGGACAAGACCAGAAGAAAUGGCUUCAACUUGCAAAUAAAAGGACUCAGUUCCAGACCUGUACCCACUGGAGUGAUGCUUAAAAGUCUUCAGCCUUGAAUAACAAACAGUGCCACAAAGACAAUCAUUUCAUCACAAUCAAAUUGCCCCUGAAGCCAUGAAGAUUCCUCUAGAGCUACAAGACCAAGACUGAGAUAAUAAUCAACAGGACCCCAGCCCACUACAGCACCACAUAAAACUGGUCUCCAUUCUUUUGUGAAUGGGCCAGACUGAUUCCUCUCUUCAUACCUGUAUACCAUUCAAUUCCUCAAAAUGAAGCAAUUUUUCUAUCUUCUCUUACUUUCCUUUGUGACGAGACAAGCUUGAUCUUAAGAGCUGUCUCCUUUUAUUUCUCUU
Molecule: long non-coding RNA, 869 nt
Organism: Heterocephalus glaber (naked mole-rat)
Lineage: Eukaryota; Metazoa; Chordata; Mammalia; Rodentia; Bathyergidae
Source: RefSeq, a predicted model, not a curated record